Myotis davidii is the source of this 819-nucleotide long non-coding RNA. RefSeq lists it as uncharacterized. The record is from RefSeq and is a predicted model, not a curated record. The transcript has 2 exons. NCBI's taxonomy places the organism in Eukaryota, Metazoa, Chordata, Mammalia, Chiroptera, Vespertilionidae.
AUUUUUAUAUGUCAUGUGCAUUUUGUUUUGCUGUGUAUAUAAUGGACAAAUAAGUCCUAAAAUUGCAAUAGCUAGUCUUUAGAUGUUAAAGAGGUUGCCAGUAUAUGACAAAGUAGUAAAAUUAUCAUAUUUUGUACACUUUGUGUUGAAAUUCAUAGGAAAGCUUGUCUUGUGUAAAUGACUUUUGGAUAUGAAUUUGUUCAACCACCUCUAAAUAUUACACACACCUGCACUUGUCCACUGGAUUGGUGAUGAAGAGAAGGGAGUGAGAGGGAAUGGUUCAGGCCAACAUGGUCAUAUUUAGUAGAUUCCUCGGAUUAUAACCAUUGUUAGUUAUGUGCAGUUUUAACAGUGCUGUGCCCAUAGUGGACAAGUAAGAAUCAUAUGAAAUAUCUAGUCUUUCUAGACAUUUAGAAGUGCUUGAUGUACUUAAAAGCAGAAGUAGCAGAAUAAUGCUUCUUGUAAAUAGCUUUUAAAACCUGAUAAAAAAUAUUGUCUUUAGAAAUGGAAUUGUUAAAUCACCUCUUUGAACAGUGUACUCUAUGUACUUGUUCACUACUAGGUUGAAGAAGGUGGGAGGGAAGAAAUUGCAAAAAGAUGUUUUGCUAGUGUGUAAUAGAAAACUUUAGCUUAUCCUUUGCCGCUCUAUAUGUUACAUGCAUUUCAUUUACCUUUACUGUAUAUAUUGUGAAUAUACUGGACAAAUAGAUCCUAAUUUUAUAAUAUCUAGUCUCUAGAUAUUAAAGAGGUUGCCAAUGUAUGACAAAAGUAGAGUUAGUAAACAAACACAUUUUGUACACUUUAUGUUAAAAUUCAUAG